UACGUAGGGUGCGAGCGUUGUCCGGAUUUAUUGGGCGUAAAGAGCUCGUAGGUGGUCUGUUGCGUCGGUUGUGAAAACUCGGGGCUUAACUCCGGGCCUGCAGUCGAUACGGGCAGACUAGAGUUCGGCAGGGGAGACUGGAAUUCCUGGUGUAGCGGUGAAAUGCGCAGAUAUCAGGAGGAACACCGGUGGCGAAGGCGGGUCUCUGGGCCGAUACUGACACUGAGGAGCGAAAGCGUGGGGAGCGAACAGG
RNAcentral lists this ribosomal RNA (253 nucleotides) under uncultured bacterium. RNAcentral's name for it is "partial 16S ribosomal RNA". It matches the Rfam family "Bacterial small subunit ribosomal RNA", at positions 524 to 776 of the family's 1533-position model. The record is from RNAcentral.